Molecule: ribosomal RNA, 550 nt
Filed under: uncultured bacterium
Lineage: Bacteria
Description: bacterial SSU rRNA
Rfam family: Bacterial small subunit ribosomal RNA
Source: RNAcentral
GAAGCGAUCAGGAGGAAAUUUUCGGAUGGAAUCCGGAUUGACUGAGUGGCGGACGGGUGAGUAACGCGUGGGUAACCUGCCUCAUACAGGGGGAUAACAGUUAGAAAUGACUGCUAAUACCGCAUAAGCGCACGGGGAUGCAUAUCUUUGUGUGAAAAACUCCGGUGGUAUGAGAUGGACCCGCGUCUGAUUAGCUAGUUGGUGAGGUAACGGCUCACCAAGGCGACGAUCAGUAGCCGACCUGAGAGGGUGACCGGCCACAUUGGGACUGAGACACGGCCCAAACUCCUACGGGAGGCAGCAGUGGGGAAUAUUGCACAAUGGGGGAAACCCUGAUGCACCAACGCCGCGUGAGUGAAGAAGUAUUUCGGUAUGUAAAGCUCUAUCACCAUGGAAGAAAAUGACGGUACCUGAGUAAGAAGCCCCGGCUAACUACGUGCCAGCAGCCGCGGUAAUACGUAGGGGGCAAGCGUUAUCCGGAUUUACUGGGUGUAAAGGGAGCGUAGACGGCGAUGCAAGUAUGAAGUGAAAGCCCGGGGCUCAACCCCGG